GAUGAAGAAGUAGCGAAAUGCGAUACUUGGUGUGAAUUGCAGAAUCCCGUGAACCAUCGAGUCUUUGAACGCAAGUUGCGCCCGAAGCCACUAGGCCGAGGGCACGCCUGCCUGGGCGUCACACGUCGUUGCCCCCCCCCCAUCUACUCCUUCGGGAUUGCGGGGGGCGGAUGAUGGCCUCCCGUGCGCCUAGCCGCGCGGUUGGCAUAAAUACCAAGUCCUCGGCGACGCACGCCACGACAAUCGGUGGUUGCGAAACCUCGGUUGCCCGUCGUGUGCGUUCGUCGCGCAUCGAGGCCUCGAAAAAAUGCUCGGCUCCGGCUCGGCUUUCAACGCGACCCCAGGUCAGGCGGGGUUACCCGCUGAAUUUAAGCAUAUCAAUAAGCGGAGGA
RNAcentral lists this unclassified non-coding RNA (392 nucleotides) under soil metagenome. Its description in RNAcentral is "partial contains 5.8S ribosomal RNA, internal transcribed spacer 2, and large subunit ribosomal RNA". The stretch from base 1 to 121 matches the Rfam family "5.8S ribosomal RNA", at positions 35 to 154 of the family's 154-position model. The record is from RNAcentral.